RNAcentral lists this ribosomal RNA (426 nucleotides) under uncultured bacterium. Its description in RNAcentral is "bacterial SSU rRNA". It matches the Rfam family "Bacterial small subunit ribosomal RNA", at positions 355 to 773 of the family's 1533-position model. The record is from RNAcentral.
UGGGGAAUUUUGGACAAUGGGCGAAAGCCUGAUCCAGCCAUGCCGCGUGAGUGAAGAAGGCCCUCGGGUUGUAAAGCUCUUUUGUCCGGAAAGAAAAGCAUUCGGUGAAUACCCGGAUGUUCUGACGGUACCGGAAGAAUAAGCACCGGCUAACUUCGUGCCAGCAGCCGCGGUAAUACGAAGGGUGCAAGCGUUACUCGGAAUUACUGGGCGUAAAGCGUGCGUAGGUGGUGGUUUAAGUCUGAUGUGAAAGCCCUGGGCUCAACCUGGGAAUGGCAUUCGAAACUGGGCAGCUAGAGUGCGGUAGAGGGUAGUGGAAUUCCCGGUGUAGCAGUGAAAUGCGUAGAGAUCGGGAGGAACAUCUGUGGCGAAGGCGACUGCCUGGACCAGCACUGACACUGAGGCACGAAAGCGUGGGGAGCAAAC